Long non-coding RNA from Misgurnus anguillicaudatus (oriental weatherfish), 442 nucleotides. RefSeq lists it as uncharacterized. The record is from RefSeq and is a predicted model, not a curated record. Lineage: Eukaryota; Metazoa; Chordata; Actinopteri; Cypriniformes; Cobitidae.
CUACUGUGCUUAAAAGCUGUGUUUCUUGAUUUAAUUAUUGUUCAAAUAGAAGAGGACAGGCUUAGCAAAACAUGAUUUGGAGAGCAUUUGUCUUUGACCCUGCGAUUCUAUGCAACAGGUGACACGUUCAAGUUCAUCAGGUUCAAGUCCAGGAUGGGAGACCAGCACCAUCUCACAAAUAGUUUUGGAUGUUCUGCUCUGUACCAGGUUAUAAAGGACGAUUUCUUGAAGACACCAUCAACGGAAGGAGAGUGGCAUACAAUAGCCAUGGACUUCAAAAGGAAGUGGCAGUUAUUGCUUUGGGGUACUUGCUACCACUCCAGCUGUAGCAGACUGCUGACCACAACAUGGAUGAUGGGCAGUGGAAGAUUCACGGGAUGUGUGCUUUUCAACCGAUGAAAUACACCUCACAUCGCAAUUGUAUGGCAAUAGCAAAAGUGCA